CCGGCGCACGGGUGAGUAACACGUAUGCAACCUGGCCGUCACAGGUGGAUAACCGGAAGAAAUUCCGACUAAUACAGCAUAACACUCCUGAGGGACAUCCCUUGGGAGUCAAAGGAGGCAACUCCAGUGACGGAUGGGCAUGCGGCGCAUUAGGUAGUUGGUAGGGUAACGGCCUACCAAGCCGACGAUGCGUAGGGGUUCUGAGAGGAAGGUCCCCCACAUUGGAACUGAGACACGGUCCAAACUCCUACGGAAGGCAGCAG
RNAcentral lists this ribosomal RNA (263 nucleotides) under uncultured bacterium. Its description in RNAcentral is "partial 16S ribosomal RNA". It matches the Rfam family "Bacterial small subunit ribosomal RNA", at positions 95 to 354 of the family's 1533-position model. The record is from RNAcentral.